RNAcentral lists this ribosomal RNA (625 nucleotides) under uncultured Acidobacteriaceae bacterium. RNAcentral's name for it is "bacterial SSU rRNA". It matches the Rfam family "Bacterial small subunit ribosomal RNA", at positions 85 to 688 of the family's 1533-position model. Lineage: Bacteria; Pseudomonadati; Acidobacteriota; Terriglobia; Terriglobales; Acidobacteriaceae. The record is from RNAcentral.
AGCAAGUAGAGUGGCGCACGGGUGAGUAACACGUAGGUAAUCUACCUUUGGAUAGGGAAUAACACCGAGAAAUCGGUGCUAAUACCGAAUAAUGCAGCGGCACCUAAUGGUGACAGUUGUUAAAGCGGGGGAUCGCAAGACCUCGCGUCUAAAGAGGAGCCUGCGGCGGAUUAGCUAGUUGGUAAGGUAACGGCUUACCAAGGCGAUGAUCCGUAGCCGGCCUGAGAGGGCGGUCGGCCACACUGACACUGACAUACGGGUCAGACUCCUACGGGAGGCAGCAGUCGGGAAUUUUGGGCAAUGGGCGAAAGCCUGACCCAGAAACGCCGCGUGAAGGAUGAAAUCCCUCGGGAUGUAAACUUCGCAAGAACGGGAAGAAUAAGUCGGUGCUAACACCCAUCGGCGAUGACGGUACUGAAAGUAAGCUCCGGCUAACUCCGUGCCAGCAGCCGCGGUACUAACGGGGGGAGCAAGCGUAGUUCGGAUUUACUGGGCGUAAAGGGCGCGUAGGCGGUCACCGAAAGUCGACUGUGAAAUCUCCGGGCUUUACUCGGAAAGGUCAGCCGAUACUGCGGGGCUAGAGUGCAGAAAGGGCAACUGGAAUUCUCGGUGUAGCGGUGAAAUG